Molecule: RNA transcript, 1967 nt
Organism: Myotis myotis
Lineage: Eukaryota; Metazoa; Chordata; Mammalia; Chiroptera; Vespertilionidae
Gene: MRPL40
Gene name: mitochondrial ribosomal protein L40
Exons: 4
Source: RefSeq, a predicted model, not a curated record
AGCCAGGGGAUGGGGGACGCUCCUCCCUCACCCCCCUGGGGCCUGGGGACAGGGGUGGUGAGGAGGACCAAGUCCUGCAGUUGUGCCCACAAGGCAGAACUAUGACAAAACCGCUCGUGACUAAAGGCUUGUCCGGGCCGAACACAGCCUGUUCCCAACCAGAGGAGUGGAAGUCAGGUCCCCCGGGGUGUGCUUUAAGGAAGCCCCUCUCCUAGAACACACCUUGUCGGAUGGGCCCCAACCCAAGUCAGUCAUCAUGACGCCCCAGCUCAGAAUAAACGGGGUUCCUUGGGCUGGGGGACCUCAGCGCUGAGCCACAGCCCCCCAACUCGGGGCACAGUCACCAGAUCCAGGCCUCGGCCGGAGCAGGGACAGCCCCUCCCGCAGGGCAGAGACGUGCCGAUGGCAGGUCUUCACCCCGCCAAUCAAAAGCUACACGAGGGGUCGCGCCCAGGUUCCACGCACAUCGAGCCGUCCGAGCACAUCCUGGCUGAUGCAGACGAGUGGCAGGAACUGGCCAGCGCCCAAGGGCCGCUCCCCGAAGCCAGGCCGCGGCGCCUCCACGGACCACGGGUGGGUGGCGGAGGGCUCAGCGCAGGAGCUGGGGGCGGAGGCGGACUUGGCCGCAGCCGGGCGGGAGCACGUGCCGGGGCUCGCCGGUCUCCCCGCUCCGAGGACAAAGUCCGUUACCUCCCGCUCCGCGACUCUGGCACCGGGCACCAGGCGCCGGGAGCGAGGCGGGCACGGCCCCGCGCGCGACUCAGACCCGGCUCCGGACCCCGAUCUGACGCCAGGCGUGGCCUCCGGCGACCCCUGUGUUCACUCACCAUUGUGGUUGACCCAGGUCGGCUUCAGGAGCUUCAUUGUUCGGCCGCCGCCGGGCUGAGGCGAGAGCCGCGUCCUUCAACGCGCGCGGGCCAUGGGGCCGCCGCCGCCGCUUUCUCCCGCGCCGCCCGCCCUCCAGCCGCCGCCCGCCCCGCGCCCUCAGUGCCGCCAGGCCAUCGCCGGCUCGCGCCCCAGGCCGCCGCCACAGCCGCCCCCCGCGCUCGGCCGCCACCGCUGCCGCCACAGCCGCAUCCCCUGCGCCGCUCCUCCUCCGGCAGCUCCCGGGCAACGCCGGAAGUCACGGCGCGCACCUGCCAAAUCGCCCCGGCGGGAAACCGCUCCCUGCGCGGACCGGGCCGCCCUGGCUCCUGUGCGGGUCGGGGCAGCGGAGGGAGGCUCCGCUUUGGGUCCAGCCCGGUCCCAGCGAUGGGUGAAGGGGAGGGUCUGCUGGGACCGUGGCUGGCAAGCGGGGCCUCGAGUGGCAGCUUAGGCCGGUGGUGCCGCACCGGGUCGGAGUAUAGCGUGGACCGCCUCUCCAGCUCUACGUCGCUGGCCGGAACGCGAUCGCGUGAAGCGACGGGACUGCCGGACCGUAGCGCGAGGCACCGUGGGCCGGACCGCCGAGGUGCGCGCCCGGAAGCAGCCGGCGGCUGCCUUGGAAGCCAUGGCCACCACGGUUUUGGGAGCUGCCGCGCGUGCUCUUCGUUCGCCGUGCUGAGCAGAACCUCUGAGAAAGAAGAAGAAGGUGGAUCCUAAAAAAGACCAAGCUGUAAAGGACCGCUUGAAAAAGAGGAUCCGAAGACUAGAAAAGGCUAGCCAGGAGCUAAUUCCCAUUGAAGAUUUUAUUAUCCCUGUGAAGUUCAUGGAUAAAGUGAGUCACCUCUCACCAAAGGCAGUCUCUGCCUGGGAAAGAGGAAGUGCUACUAUAAUCUCAGGAUCACUGUCUCCUAUUUCCACAUAAAGCAAAUGGCCCCGGUUCCUAGUGUCAGCUGCAGCUGCCACCACAUUCAACAUGCCAUUCCUGAAUUUGUCCCUUUCUUUUCUGAGUUCCAUGUCUGGCAGGGAGGAUGCCUGGGCCAUAUGCAGUCCCCGACUCUGUGGUCAGUGAGGGCAGUGCUCCCAGCUUCACUUUGGAUUUGUGU